Molecule: long non-coding RNA, 1225 nt
Filed under: Theobroma cacao (cacao)
Lineage: Eukaryota; Viridiplantae; Streptophyta; Magnoliopsida; Malvales; Malvaceae
Description: long non-coding RNA (TCAC_LNC000217)
Source: RNAcentral
GAAGUAAUGCUUCACUUAUUCUAGUUGUUUUCGUUAUUUUAUAUAUGACACUACAUUGUAAAACAACUCUUAAGAGAAUAAAUUAUAAUCAAAAUCAACUAUCUACAGUAAUCAUAAAACAAAAGAAGAGAGAUGUGCUUAAAAAGUCACUUCCAACCAACAUGACCAUGUCUUGUUAAACUCAUGCAUAGGGGAAAAAUAUUCUGAGAUGGAGAAUUGAUUUGUUAGCAAAACUUCCUUUGAGAUAUAUCUGUACUCAGUAGGGACAAUCUGCAAUACAAUAAAAAGAACACUUGGAUGAGAGAUUUCAAGAUUAAAACAACUACUUUUUAAAGGAAUAAAAGAAAAGAAAGAUAAAGGGGCAAACUAAUGUUCCAUCUUUACCAUAGAAGUAGUAUAAGUGAAUGUGUUAAAAUGCAACAUGAAAUAACCUGUUACUAUUUAACGAAACUCCAAUAAAAGUUUCCACUUGUGUUGGAAACUCUCAGAUUCAAACAAAUUUCUAAUUUACACAUUUUUCCAAUACCCAAACGUUCCAUGCAUCAAAACCCAUAAUCAAAUCUACUAAAUAUAGUUAAAAUACCCAAAAAAAUAAAAACUUCAAAAAAAAGUUCAGGUUUUGAUUUGCAUAAUCAAAUCUAUUAUAUAUAGAUAAAAUAUCCAUUAAACAAAAACUUUAAAGAAAAGUUUAGGUUUUGAUUUUCAUAAUCACAUCUACUAAAGAUAGCUAAAAUGCUUAAAAAAAUAAAAACUUCAAAGAAAGUUUGGCUUUUCAUCUAUUUUGUAAAUUUCUAACAGGAUUCUUCACCGACUGUCUCCUGAACUAUUCUUCAUCUCUUUUUGAAUCCAUUACAACUUUCAAAAAGUAGACUUUCAUCUCUUUUUUUUCUUUUCCGUUUUUUUCCCUUCUCUAAACAAAACAAGCUCACAAAAAAAAGGUUAAUUAACAGUUAUAGUAUAUGCAUGCAAAUAGAGCGACCAGAAGACAUGGAAGAGUAGACGACUUGUUGAGAAGGCUGGACGAUUUGAUUAAGAAAGAAAUUUUUGAAUGUCCCAUACAGGGAAAAAGAUAAGAAAAAAAGAACCUAUACAAGAAGAAAAAGAAAUGAGUCUGAGCAUAAGAAAGAAAAACACAACACCUAAAGCAAAGAAAAUUACAGUGUUAAAGACUUGAGCAUGCUGUCUCAUAAAGGAAAAAAGAUAAAAAGAAAAGACUUUAUACAAG